CACGGGUGAGUAACGCGUAUGCGACCUGCCCGUUACAGGGGGAUAAUCCGGAGAAAUCCGGUCUAAUACCGCAUAAUAUCGUGAAGCUGCAUGGUUUUGCGAUUAAAGGAGCGAUCCGGUGACGGAUGGGCAUGCGUGACAUUAGCUAGUCGGCGGGGUAACGGCCCACCGAGGCGACGAUGUCUAGGGGUUCUGAGAGGAAGGUCCCCCACACUGGUACUGAGACACGGACCACACUUAUACGGGAGGCAGCAGUGAGGAAUAUUGGUCAAUGGGCGAGAGCCUGAACCAGCCAAGUCGCGUGAAGGAUGACGGCCCUACGGGUUGUAAACUUCUUUUGUCAGGGAGCAAUUGAGUCCACGUGUGGGCUUACCGAGAGUACCUGAAGAAAAAGCAUCGGCUAACUCCGUGCCAGCAGCCGCGGUAAUACGGAGGAUGCGAGCGUUAUCCGGAUUUAUUGGGUUUAAAGGGAGCGUAGACGGCACUGCAAGUCCGGAGUGAAAGCCCAAGGCUUAACCAUGGGACUGCUCUGGAAACUGUGGAGCUUGAGUGCGGGAGGGGCAGGCGGAAUUCCUAGUGUAGCGGUGAAAUGCGUAGAUAUUAGGAGGAACACCGGCGG
Molecule: ribosomal RNA, 619 nt
Filed under: uncultured bacterium
Lineage: Bacteria
Description: bacterial SSU rRNA
Rfam family: Bacterial small subunit ribosomal RNA
Source: RNAcentral